Molecule: ribosomal RNA, 250 nt
Filed under: uncultured bacterium
Lineage: Bacteria
Description: partial 16S ribosomal RNA
Rfam family: Bacterial small subunit ribosomal RNA
Source: RNAcentral
GCAAGUCGAGCGCCCGCAAGGGAGCGGCGGACGGGUGAGUAACGCGUGGGAACGUACCCUUUGCUACGGAAUAGCCUCUGGAAACGGAGAGUAAUACCGUAUGUGCCCUACGGGGGAAAGAUUUAUCGGCAAAGGAUCGGCCCGCGUUGGAUUAGGUAGUUGGUGGGGUAAUGGCCUACCAAGCCGACGAUCCAUAGCUGGUUUGAGAGGAUGAUCAGCCACACUGGGACUGAGACACGGCCCAGACUCC